CUGGCUCAGGAUGAACGCUGGCGGCGUGCCUAACACAUGCAAGUCGAACGGAACUGCAUAUGAAGAAUUCUUCGGAAUGAUUCGCUUGUAGUUAGUGGCGGACGGGUGAGUAACGCGUGAGUAACCUGCCCUUGAGAGGGGGAUAACGUUCUGAAAAGGACGCUAAUACCGCAUAACACUAUUUUAUCGCAUGGUAGAAUAGUCAAAACUCCGGUGCUCAGGGAUGGACUCGCGUCCGAUUAGAUAGUUGGUGAGGUAACGGCUCACCAAGUCGACGAUCGGUAGCCGGACUGAGAGGUUGAACGGCCACAUUGGGACUGAGACACGGCCCAGACUCCUACGGGAGGCAGCAGUGGGGGAUAUUGCGCAAUGGGGGGAAACCCUGACGCAGCAACGCCGCGUGGAUGAAGACGGUUUUCGGAUUGUAAAGUCCUUUUCUGGGGGACGAAAAAUGACGGUACCUCAGGAAUAAGCUCCGGCUAACUACGUGCCAGCCGCGGC
RNAcentral lists this ribosomal RNA (501 nucleotides) under uncultured bacterium. RNAcentral describes it as "bacterial SSU rRNA". It matches the Rfam family "Bacterial small subunit ribosomal RNA", at positions 19 to 518 of the family's 1533-position model. The record is from RNAcentral.